Molecule: ribosomal RNA, 455 nt
Filed under: uncultured Desulfobacterium sp.
Lineage: Bacteria; Pseudomonadati; Thermodesulfobacteriota; Desulfobacteria; Desulfobacterales; Desulfobacteriaceae
Description: bacterial SSU rRNA
Rfam family: Bacterial small subunit ribosomal RNA
Source: RNAcentral
GCGGUGAGCAUGUGGUUUAAUUCGACGCAACGCGCAGAACCUUACCUGGGUUUGACAUCUCGGGAAUCUUGUGGAAACACGAGAGUGCCCUUCGGGAGCCCGAAGACAGGUGCUGCAUGGCUGUCGUCAGCUCGUGUCGUUGAGAUGUUGGGUUAAGUCCCGCAACCGAGCGCAACCCCUAUCUCUAGUUGCCAGGCGAUUCGGUCGGGGACUCUAGAGAUACUGCCCGGUUAACGGGAGGAAGGUGGGGAUGACGUCAAGUCCUCAUGGCCCUUAUGCCCAGGGCUACACACGUGCUACAAUGGGCGGUACAAAGGGUAGCGAUGCCGCGAGGUGAAGCCAAUCCCAAAAAGCCGUCCACAGUUCGGAUUGGAGUCUGCAACUCGACUCCAUGAAGUUGGAAUCGCUAGUAAUCGUGGAUCAGCAUGCCACGGUGAAUACGUUCCCGGGCCCUU